Molecule: ribosomal RNA, 429 nt
Filed under: Bacillota bacterium
Lineage: Bacteria; Bacillati; Bacillota
Description: Firmicutes bacterium partial 16S ribosomal RNA
Rfam family: Bacterial small subunit ribosomal RNA
Source: RNAcentral
UAGGGAAUCUUCCGCAAUGGGCGAAAGCCUGACGGAGCAACGCCGCGUGAGUGAUGAAGGGUUUCGGCUCGUAAAACUCUGUUAUUAGGGAAGAACAAAUGUGUAAGUAACUGUGCACAUCUUGACGGUACCUAAUCAGAAAGCCACGGCUAACUACGUGCCAGCAGCCGCGGUAAUACGUAGGUGGCAAGCGUUAUCCGGAAUUAUUGGGCGUAAAGCGCGCGUAGGCGGUUUCUUAAGUCUGAUGUGAAAGCCCACGGCUCAACCGUGGAGGGUCAUUGGAAACUGGGAAACUUGAGUGCAGAAGAGGAAAGUGGAAUUCCAUGUGUAGCGGUGAAAUACGCAGAGAUAUGGAGGAACACCAGUGGCGAAGGCGACUUUCUGGUCUGUAACUGACGCUGAUGUGCGAAAGCGUGGGGAUCAAACAGG